RNAcentral lists this unclassified non-coding RNA (356 nucleotides) under soil metagenome. RNAcentral describes it as "partial contains 5.8S ribosomal RNA, internal transcribed spacer 2, and large subunit ribosomal RNA". The stretch from base 1 to 121 matches the Rfam family "5.8S ribosomal RNA", at positions 35 to 154 of the family's 154-position model. The record is from RNAcentral.
GAUGAAGGAACGUAGCGAAAUGCGAUAAGUAGUGUGAAUUGCAGAAUUCAGUGAAUCAUCGAAUCUUUGAACGCACAUUGCGCCUUCUAGUAUUCUGGGAGGCAUGCCUGUUUGAGCGUCAUUAAACCUCUCUCAAGUAUGAUUACUUGGAUGUGAAGGAAGAGUACCUUAAACUUAAGGAGUGUUCUCCUUUGAAAUUGAUUAGCAGAUGGUAAUGUUAUUAAAUCCCUGAUGUUGUAAGAAAUAACAGUGGUUUUGUAGACUAUUAUCUAGCUUUAAAUUAUAAUUUUUAUUAUGGUUGACCUCAAAUCAGGUAAGGAUACCCGCUGAACUUAAGCAUAUCAAUAAGCGGAGGA